RNAcentral lists this ribosomal RNA (429 nucleotides) under Pseudomonadota bacterium. RNAcentral describes it as "Proteobacteria bacterium partial 16S ribosomal RNA". It matches the Rfam family "Bacterial small subunit ribosomal RNA", at positions 355 to 776 of the family's 1533-position model. The record is from RNAcentral. Lineage: Bacteria; Pseudomonadati; Pseudomonadota.
UGGGGAAUAUUGGACAAUGGGCGAAAGCCUGAUCCAGCCAUGCCGCGUGUGUGAAGAAGGUCUUCGGAAUGUAAAGCACUUUAAGUUGGGAGGAAGGGCAGUAAGCGAAUACCUUGCUGUUUUGACGUUACCGACAGAAUAAGCACCGGCUAACUCUGUGCCAGCAGCCGCGGUAAUACAGAGGGUGCAAGCGUUAAUCGGAAUUACUGGGCGUAAAGCGCGCGUAGGUGGUUCGUUAAGUUGAAUGUGAAAGCCCCGGGCUCAACCUGGGAACUGCAUCCAAAACUGGCGAGCUAGAGUAGGGCAGAGGGUGGUGGAAUUGCCUGUGUAGCGGUGAAAUGCGUAGAUAUAGGAAGGAACACCAGUGGCGAAGGCGACCACCUGGGCUCAUACUGACACUGAGGUGCGAAAGCGUGGGGAGCAAACAGG